Molecule: ribosomal RNA, 510 nt
Filed under: Drosophila nr. fundita RL-2010
Lineage: Eukaryota; Metazoa; Arthropoda; Insecta; Diptera; Drosophilidae
Description: partial 16S ribosomal RNA
Rfam family: Bacterial large subunit ribosomal RNA
Source: RNAcentral
GUCUUUUUGAAUUAAAUUUAAAGUCUAACCUGCCCACUGAAAAUUUUAAAUGGCCGCAGUAUUCUAACUGUGCAAAGGUAGCAUAAUCAUUAGUCUUUUAAUUGAAGGCUGGAAUGAAUGGUUGGACGAAAUAUUAACUGUUUCAUUUAAAUUUUUUAUAGAAUUUUAUUUUUUAGUAAAAAAGCUAAAAUAAAUUUAAAAGACGAGAAGACCCUAUAAAUCUUUAUAUUUUGUUUAUUUUAAUUAUAAAGAUUAUUUUUAUUAUAAUAAAUUAAAAUAUUUUAUUGGGGUGAUAUUAAAAUUUAAAAAACUUUUAAUUUUUAAAACCAUUAAUUUAUGAAUAAUUGAUCCAUUAGUAAUGAUUAAAAAUUUAAGUUACUUUAGGGAUAACAGCGUAAUUUUUUUGGAGAGUUCAUAUCGAUAAAAAAGAUUGCGACCUCGAUGUUGGAUUAAGAUAUAAUUUUGGGUGUAGCCGCUCAAAUUUUAAGUCUGUUCGACUUUUAAAUUCUU